This 338-nucleotide long non-coding RNA is filed under the name Vitis vinifera (wine grape). RNAcentral's name for it is "long non-coding RNA (VVIN_LNC000164)". Lineage: Eukaryota; Viridiplantae; Streptophyta; Magnoliopsida; Vitales; Vitaceae. The record is from RNAcentral.
UUGAUAACUUCUUUUCCGGACUAAAUGGGAAUUCUGCAUCGAUUGAACUACAAAAAAAGGGGGUCAGGAUGGCUCAUUCAUCAACAGCAACCCACAUCCAAAUCAUGUUCCAUAAAAGGUUAAAAAAAAAAAAAAAGACAUUUUCACCACCAACCUACAAAGCUAGCAACCAAACAUCCUAUAGACACCUAAAAGAGUAACAAGUUCAAGAACCCAACCACUUACAAAAAAAUGGAAAAAAGAAGAGGUUCACGAACCCAACCCAACUUCAGUGGGAGCAUGACCACCUUGAAUUCCCAAAACAUGGUUAUUGUAGGAGUUUCCACCAGCCCCCCUGC